UACGGGGGGAGCAAGCGUUGUUCGGAUUUACUGGGCGUAAAGGGCGCGUAGGCGGUCAGCACAAGUCAGUUGUGAAAUCUCCGGGCUUAACUGGGAGGGUGCGGCGGAAACUAGAGUGCUAGAGGGUGGGAGAGGUAAGCGGAAUUCCUGGUGUAGCGGUGAAAUGCGUAGAGAUGUGGAGGAACACCGAUGGCGAAGGCAGCCCCCUGGGUCAAAACUGACGCUCAUGCACGAAAGCGUGGGGAGCAAACAGG
RNAcentral lists this ribosomal RNA (254 nucleotides) under uncultured bacterium. RNAcentral's name for it is "partial 16S ribosomal RNA". It matches the Rfam family "Bacterial small subunit ribosomal RNA", at positions 524 to 776 of the family's 1533-position model. The record is from RNAcentral.